This 426-nucleotide long non-coding RNA is filed under the name Ananas comosus (pineapple). RNAcentral's name for it is "long non-coding RNA (ACOM_LNC005361)". The record is from RNAcentral. Lineage: Eukaryota; Viridiplantae; Streptophyta; Magnoliopsida; Poales; Bromeliaceae.
UAACCCUACCUAACCCCACCUCAAAUAAAUUAUCCCGGGUUAGCUAACCCCAUCUAACCCCACCAAACUCCAACCAAACACUAUUUUCUAUUCAUAAUAACCCACUAUCUUUCUUAUCACACCUACUCCAACCAAUCAUUAUCCUUCUUUAUCAAUCAUUAUCUUCUUAUCCCACCUACCCAACCAAACACUAUUUUUCAUUAUUCUAGACUAACUCCAACCCCCAACCAAACACAAAAAAACUUUAACCCCACUUUAACCCUGAACUUAACUCUAUUCCUGGAAUAGCUACUUUUUCCUUAACCCCGAACCAAACGGAGACUAAGGUUAUAGGGGCGUGAGUGAACGUGGACCCGUGGCGGUGGCGAAAGUUGAUUGAUUGGGUCGAAGUUGAUGUUAUGUCUCUAGCUGUGAAUAGAGACGGAU